UCCAGUUGCACACAGGACGGAAGAAGGUUUUGGUGUGUGCUACCGACGCAAUCCUAGUCCGUCAUCUCCGCUUAUAAAUCCCACUCAUUUUGAAGUUGCAGGUUGUUUUCAUUUUCAUCAUCUUUUAAUUCUCAGCAGAUCUCUUGACGAUAUCCUCAAUGUUCCUUUCCUUCUCUUCUCUCCCCCGUCCAUCAUCUCUUCCUCCAUCUCCAUUCAUCUCUCCCCAAAACUCCCCAUUCUUCAACACCUCCAUCGUCCUCUCUCUCAAUCCGCCACAAGCAAGAGUCCCACCACAAGAGCAUUCACAGGCUGGCAAGAAUACAAAGAAGCCGUGAAAGACAAGGACCUCGCCCAAACACUUCGCUUCUUGAAAUCCGUCAAAUCCCUUCCCCUCCAAUCCUCUCUCGAUGGCGGUAGCAGCGCCGGUCUGUCGCAGCUACAAUGGCCAAAUAGCCAAAUAGGUACUAGGAAGUGCUCAACGUUUGCUUGAAUGCAGACGACAUGAAGCUCAUCGGCAGCGCAUACAAGUUCCCCCACUACAGGGGCUUCCUCCCUAAUAUUGGGAAGUUCAAGAACAUCGGUGGAAACAUGACGAGAUCCAGACAGCUUUUCCAGCAGCCUCAAUGUGGAUGCUCAUGGUCAAACGGAUUGAUUAAAGAGAUUAAUUUCAGAGUGGGAUGUUAAAAGAAAAGUAGAUGGAAGGUUUGAAUGCAGUUGGAGCACCCUGCCAUUGACCCUACUUGUACAAAUUGACAAACUGAGGCUAUCAUGUACUAUUCUUUCCAAGGAUCAUAUACAAUCUAGAUCAUCAGAUAACGUGCUUGGUGGUAACGCAUGAGAUAGGCGACCCGAAUCACAUUAUUAUCUAUAGUAUGAUUAAAUGGGAGGGUCUCAUCAGUCUUAGUUCUUACA
Long non-coding RNA from Magnolia sinica, 912 nucleotides. RefSeq lists it as uncharacterized. The record is from RefSeq and is a predicted model, not a curated record. The transcript has 2 exons. Lineage: Eukaryota; Viridiplantae; Streptophyta; Magnoliopsida; Magnoliales; Magnoliaceae.